This 222-nucleotide long non-coding RNA is filed under the name Musa acuminata (dwarf banana). Its description in RNAcentral is "long non-coding RNA (MACU_LNC009532)". The record is from RNAcentral. Lineage: Eukaryota; Viridiplantae; Streptophyta; Magnoliopsida; Zingiberales; Musaceae.
ACACUUAGAGUCGAUAUAGAGAUCAGACUCAAGGAAGGGCUGACCCGUGGAAUGGUGGGCGCAAGGGCCACCAUCAACUCAAUGCAAAAACGAGGAGCGGAGCAACUUGGGUGUAACUUGGUGAAGUACCCAAGCCGUAUGAAGGGAGCUAACAUAGAAGAUCGAACAUGGAGUGGAGGCCCAGAGCUUUCCUUGGACAGAGGUCAAGGACAUAAACUCUUG